Molecule: ribosomal RNA, 770 nt
Filed under: uncultured Neocallimastigales
Lineage: Eukaryota; Fungi; Neocallimastigomycota; Neocallimastigomycetes; Neocallimastigales
Description: partial large subunit ribosomal RNA
Rfam family: Eukaryotic large subunit ribosomal RNA (bases 6-660)
Source: RNAcentral
GUAGUCUCGCACAGAUGCAUAUCAAUAAGCGGAGGAAAAGAAACUAACAAGGAUUCCCUCAGUAACGGCGAGUGAAGCGGGAAGAGCUCAAAUUUGAAAUCUUGAAAGGUCACCUUUCACGAAUUGUAGUUUAAAGAAGUGUUUUCUGUUACGAUCGUAAUAUAAGUUCUUUGGAAUAGGACAUCACAGAGGGUGAGAAUCCCGUCUAUGAUUGCGAUUUGUAGCUUUGUGAUACACUUUCAAAGAGUCGGGUUGUUUGGGAAUGCAGCCCAAAACGGGAGGUAAAUUUCUUCUAAGGCUAAAUAUUGGCGAGAGACCGAUAGCGAACAAGUACCGUGAGGGAAAGAUGAAAAGAACUUUGAAAAGAGAGUUAAAUAGUACGUGAAAUUGUCAAAAGGGAAGCGUUAACACCAGUGUUGUUUUCUGAAAAUCAACCUCUGUUAGCUUUAUGCAUGUUUGUUUAGACCUAAUCAGCUAUCUUGCAUGUUCUAUUGUUUGCAGUGGUGCACUUUUCAGUUUACAGGUCAACAUCAGUUUUUUUUACCGUAAAAAAGUUAAAGAAAGGUAGCUCAUGGCUCCGGUCGUGAGUGUUAUAGUCUUUUUCCUAUGCGGUAGGAGAGACUGAGGUCUGCAGUGUAGGCUAUUUGGCUAGAUACUCAGGUGCUAUGUGAUACCAUUUCAUAAACAACUUGUUGAUUAUGUUUUGUCUAUUGCAUACUCGCUUGUACUAUCAUACCUACGCUUAGGAUGUUGAGUCGUAGAGCACGCAG